UAUAGAAGUUUUGGUAUGUGCUCAGGAUGAACGCUGGCGGCGUGCCUAACACAUGCAAGUCGAGCGAUCUCUUCGGAGAGAGCGGCGGACGGGUGAGUAACGCGUGGGUAACCUGCCCUGUACACACGGAUAACAUACCGAAAGGUAUACUAAUACGGGAUAACAUAUGAAAGUCGCAUGGCUUUUGUAUCAAAGCUCCGGCGGUACAGGAUGGACCCGCGUCUGAUUAGCUAGUUGGUAAGGUAAUGGCUUACCAAGGCAACGAUCAGUAGCCGACCUGAGAGGGUGAUCGGCCACACUGGAACUGAGACACGGUCCAGACUCCUACGGGAGGCAGCAGUGGGGAAUAUUGCACAAUGGGCGAAAGCCUGAUGCAGCAACGCCGCGUGAGCGAUGAAGGCCUUCGGGUCGUAAAGCUCUGUCCUCAAGGAAGAUAAUGACGGUACUUGAGGAGGAAGCCCCGGCUAACUACGUGCCAGCAGCCGCGGUAAUACGUAGGGGGCUAGCGUUAUCCGGAAUUACUGGGCGUAAAGGGUGCGUAGGUGGUUUUUUAAGUCAGAAGUGAAAGGCUACGGCUCAACCGUAGUAAGCUUUUGAAACUAGAGAACUUGAGUGCAGGAGAGGAGAGUAGAAUUCCUAGUGUAGCGGUGAAAUGCGUAGAUAUUAGGAGGAAUACCAGUAGCGAAGGCGGCUCUCUGGACUGUAACUGACACUGAGGCACGAAAGCGUGGGGAGCAAACAGGAUUAGAUACCCUGGUAGUCCACGCCGUAAACGAAGAGUACUAGGUGUCGGGGGUUACCCCCCUCGGUGCCGCAGCUAACGCAUUAAGACUCCGCUUUAAGGGGU
This 847-nucleotide ribosomal RNA is filed under the name Clostridium sp. RNAcentral describes it as "bacterial SSU rRNA". It matches the Rfam family "Bacterial small subunit ribosomal RNA", at positions 9 to 873 of the family's 1533-position model. The record is from RNAcentral. Lineage: Bacteria; Bacillati; Bacillota; Clostridia; Eubacteriales; Clostridiaceae.